AGCCAUGCCAAAGACUCCACAGUCUGCACUGAACUACAAAACCAGUCCUGGUGCAGAAGCUAGGAGGUCUUGCUCAUCUUCUUCUUGCACUGACGGCACUUGCUGUGGAAAAGCAGAGGACCCAGACCCACCCCAAUACUCCAGGUUAUGUCCUGUCUUAUGGACUACUACAGAAUCACUAACAGCAUCGCACACAAAGGCACCACGGGACUCCCACCGUCACCAGAGCUCUCCGCCUGCCUCUGGCGCUGGGCUGUCAGAACCGCUUCAGCUGAAAUCAAGUUCUUUAGAUUUAUGCAGUAGCCAUGUUUGUCAAAGUAUUUGGCACCGGUGACAUCAUCUUUGUUGAAACGCCGGACGGCGUGAUGAGUCCCAGAUGUUAAUGCACACUGAGAGUCGAGAAAGAAUAAAAUUCAAAGGUCGACGCUAACAACUAUGGAGGAGUGCACUCACUUUACAUUCUGGGGUACAUGGAUGAAUACGUGUUUUUUUACAACGCAUCCUAAAGCUGUUAAACCUUAGAGGCCAUUUAAAAGAUGAGCAAGAACAAACAACGUGAUUAAAGGGUGCUGCCGAAAGCUGCUCAUUACACAGAUGAAGCUGUCAACUUUUAAUUUAUAGACAAUUUGAGAAGGGGUACAUGAAGACUUGAAAAGAAGGCUUUCUUUUGCUAAAAGGAAAAAAAGAACUGUUAUUAAGAACCUCUGCUGAAAUGCACUGGUCAUCAACACAGGAUACUGGAAGAUUCAGAGGGUGAGAGAAGACUGUUCGUACAGAAACUAGUUCCAAGGCUGGAAAAACCAGAUGAUGAUGUGUUGAAUUGAUGUUGAUGAAGACUAUAUUUUGGAAACUUCAAUUAGAGCCAAAGAAUGUUUCCAGGGUGAAGCAGAAGAUGUGAGAUCAAAAUAGACACUGUCUUCUUGAGCUUUACUGACUGCAAAAACAGAAGAUACUCUGCUGAGUGAUGUUUUUGUCCUGUCAUGUCCUAAGCUUCCACAUCCCCCUGUUCAAACAAAUGCCAGGCAGUCCCUGUGUUGGCUGCAGAAGGAGUUUGAGCAUGCAGACCAAGAUUAGAUCAUAACCAGAGUCUGUCUGAAACCUUGUCUGCCAGUAAGAACAGCAGCCGAGUUAAGAUGUAUCACAGCAAUGAGCUGCCUCACUAAAGCUGACUGAACAUUGAGUCUUGACUGCCUGCUUAUGACUGCACGUAACCUUUUCAAAAGCACCCAAAUACCUUAGAAGCUUGAUUCUCAUUGCAAGUUGGAUAGCUGAAGGUUCCCACAACCACUUCUGUUUUCCUGGAUACCCGUCAACUGUUCACACUCAGAGACCUUGGAAGGGUAACCAACUUUGAAGAUUUUGUAGCUGGCUUUUUGCCUGAAGGGAAACUGUUGAGUUUCAUCUCAUCCCUGUUGUGGUUAAUUCCAGGACACUGGGAAAGACCCCGAGCUCUAAACGCUGGAUUAAGAUCUUCACUUCAGCAGCUGAGACAAUCACAGUAAACUGGGAAAAAGAGUCCUGAGGGCAAAAAGAAAGAAGAUCUACCUGGUGGUGGCAGAACAAAAAGAUUAUACAACCAUGCAAGAAGAAUGUUAUUUAAGAGAAUCCUCAAAGGCCACUCUAAGGAUUGCUGCUGAGAAUAAAGCGUCUGAGAUGGAUUAUGUUCUUACAACAAAAGAGUUUAAAGUAAAAGGUUCGGUCUUGCAAGAUGUGAAUAUAAGAAGCUAUUUUCAACUGGAAAGUCCAUGGAAGAGAUUUCGGAACAAAGAGGAGAAAAUCAACAGGAUCUAAUUGUGAGGAGCAGAUGAUACAUCUCCAGGUGGAACUCAAAUGUGAAAUUGCAGAAUUUUGUCUUUGGUACCAAGUGCAAAGAGUGAGUAAUGUGGUGAUCAGAGGAAAGGCUGACUGUCUGGAAAGAAGCUGGGCCCAGUAAAACAGAGGUUGAGAGAGGACACAGUUGCUAUCUAUAAAUAUAUUAUGAGAACUCCUGUCUGUUGGUAGGUGACUACUUCAUCAAGUUGGCUUUUCACUUGGAUAGAAGAACCAGAAAAUGAACCUGGCACUAGAGGAAGCCUGUGUUCCUUCCACAGCUGGGGAAAGCAGCGGGCCUUUCUAAAGCAAGAUUCACAGAAGCAUAUACCAGACUCUUGAUGCUGGAUGUGAAGGCAGAAACAAUUUACUGUUUUAAAACAACGAGCCUGUUCCUCAGGAGACACUGGUAAAAUUCAUGUGAAGGCACGCACUAGCUUCCUUGACUGCAAUGCAAUCCAAACUCAGGCUUGAAAACCCAACAAUCAGAGUAUUGCGUCAAGCUGAGAAUGUGUGGGUUGCUGUCCUCUGCUCAGCUGCUUGUCUCACCUCUUCAGCAAAAACUAAAGCCCUGGAAGCUGGAGGAGGUCAGACCUUCCCUGCAUUGCUAAGACAUGGGGACAAAUUGGCAUCUAUAGAACAGAUCUGCAUUGCCUCCCUUGAGCAUUUUUCCAAGACUGAACAAAUGUAGAAGAUGAUAUUGUACU
Centrocercus urophasianus (Greater sage-grouse) is the source of this 2516-nucleotide long non-coding RNA. RefSeq lists it as uncharacterized. The transcript is spliced from 19 exons. NCBI's taxonomy places the organism in Eukaryota, Metazoa, Chordata, Aves, Galliformes, Phasianidae. The record is from RefSeq and is a predicted model, not a curated record.